This 497-nucleotide ribosomal RNA is filed under the name uncultured bacterium. RNAcentral's name for it is "partial 16S ribosomal RNA". It matches the Rfam family "Bacterial small subunit ribosomal RNA", at positions 28 to 507 of the family's 1533-position model. The record is from RNAcentral.
GAUGAACGCUGGCGGCGUGCCUAAUACAUGCAAGUCGAGCGAACAGACGAGGAGCUUGCUCCUCUGACGUUAGCGGCGGACGGGUGAGUAACACGUGGAUAACCUACCUAUAAGACUGGGAUAACUUCGGGAAACCGGAGCUAAUACCGGAUAAUAUAUUGAACCGCAUGGUUCAAUAGUGAAAGACGGUUUUGCUGUCACUUAUAGAUGGAUCCGCGCCGUAUUAGCUAGUUGGUAAGGUAACGGCUUACCAAGGCAACGAUGCGUAGCCGACCUGAGAGGGUGAUCGGCCACACUGGAACUGAGACACGGUCCAGACUCCUCCGGGAGGCAGCAGUAGGGAAUCUUUCGCAAUUGGCGCAAGCCUGACGGAGCAACGCCGCGUGAGUGCUGAAGGUCUUCCGAUCGUAAAACUCUGUUAUUAGGGAAGAACAAAUGUGUAAGUAACUAUGCACGUCUUGACGGUACCUAAUCAGAAAGCAACGGCUAACUACGUG